Molecule: long non-coding RNA, 434 nt
Filed under: Setaria viridis
Lineage: Eukaryota; Viridiplantae; Streptophyta; Magnoliopsida; Poales; Poaceae
Description: long non-coding RNA (SVIR_LNC007847)
Source: RNAcentral
GCUCGUCGAGAUCAGGAACUUGAAGGUAAACGUAGACACACGAUUUAGACAUAUUCGAACCGCUAGAUUGUGUAAUACCCUACGUCCUGUGUGUGGGUUGGAUUGAAUUGCUUUGGAGGGGGUCCUACCUCACCUUAUAUUGUCGGGGGCAGGGUUACAGGUCGGUUGGUUCUAAGAAUACUAGUGGGAUACGACUAGAAGAGUUCUACUCUUAUUACAACGAGUACUUUCCAAUCGUCGACUAGUUCAUGUCUUUCCAUGUAGACUACGCCGUCAUGCACCAUAUUUAGGACUGUCCAAACCUUAUAUGUAUGUAUGACAAGUCCCUGAGUACUUUUUAGUCAAAUGCAAUAGUUCCGAGUACUUUUGUAGAUUUCACCGACUAGUUUUUGGUGCUCUUCGAGUAUUUCAUCUGGUUAAAUCUUCAAAGGUAC